UGCAUUGGCCAGGAAUCAAACCCAGGCCUCCCGCGUGGCAGGCGAGCAUUCUACCACUGAACCACCGAUGC
Cordylochernes scorpioides is the source of this 71-nucleotide non-coding RNA. The record is from the annotation of a GenBank genome assembly. Lineage: Eukaryota; Metazoa; Arthropoda; Arachnida; Pseudoscorpiones; Chernetidae.